UACGUAGGGGGCGAGCGUUGUCCGGAAUCAUUGGGCGUAAAGCGCGCGUAGGCGGCCCGGUAAGUCCGUUGUAAAAGUCAAAGGCUCAACCUUUGAAAGCCGAUGGAUACUGCCGGGCUAGAAUCCGGAAGAGGCGAGUGGAAUUCCUGGUGUAGCGGUGGAAUGCGCAGAUAUCAGGAGGAACACCAAUAGCGAAGGCAGCUCGCUGGGACGGUAUUGACGCUAAGGCGCGAAAGCGUGGGGAGCAAACAGG
Molecule: ribosomal RNA, 253 nt
Filed under: uncultured bacterium
Lineage: Bacteria
Description: partial 16S ribosomal RNA
Rfam family: Bacterial small subunit ribosomal RNA
Source: RNAcentral